UACAGAGGUCUCAAGCGUUGUUCGGAAUCACUGGGCGUAAAGGGUGCGUAGGUGGCGUGGUAAGUCAGAUGUGAAAAGCCCCGGGGGCUCAACCCUCGGAAUUGCAUCCGAUACUACCAUGCUAGAGUACUGAAGAGGUGACUAGAAUUCUCGGUGUAGCAGUGAAAUGCGUAGAUAUCGAGAGGAAUACCAAAGGCGAAGGCAGGUCACUGGGCAGUUACUGACACUGAGGCACGAAGGCUAGGGGAGCAAACGGG
RNAcentral lists this ribosomal RNA (257 nucleotides) under uncultured bacterium. RNAcentral describes it as "partial 16S ribosomal RNA". It matches the Rfam family "Bacterial small subunit ribosomal RNA", at positions 524 to 776 of the family's 1533-position model. The record is from RNAcentral.